This 377-nucleotide long non-coding RNA is filed under the name Astyanax mexicanus (Mexican tetra). RNAcentral describes it as "lncRNA (ENSAMXG00005002239.1)". Lineage: Eukaryota; Metazoa; Chordata; Actinopteri; Characiformes; Acestrorhamphidae. The record is from RNAcentral.
AGCUAGCUUCCCUGCUGCAUCACCCAGCAGUUCAGAAUGGCAGCAGCGGCCACGCUCUCAACAUCAGCCCAACAUCAGUGACUUUUCCUCCAUGCCUGAUUUCACUGCGGUCAGAUCCACUGUCUCCUCCAACCAGACUGAGAGACUGGAGCAAAGAAGAAGACGUGCAUGAGCGACAAAAGAGGAGGAGGAGGAGGUCAAGUAGUGAUGUGUCCACAGUGAUGUGCUGCUUCAAAAGGGGAGGAGUCAGAAUACAGGUUCCAGCACCACUGCCUCACAGAAAGCCUACUCUGCACAUUCUGCAGACACUGGUCUACAGGGAGGAAAUAGGGAGGAAAUUGUGCAGAAAGUAUAAAACUUUCUUCCUCCGCUUCUGA